GCUGAAUACUUCCCCCACGGUCUUCGCCGUACGCCUUUGUAGAUAGAGGACAAAAUUCGAGUUUUCCUCUUGUUGUCAUGGAGCUUAGAAUUACUUCUGAUUUUNNUGCCUCGACUGUUAUUAUUUUCUUGUGAAGAAUUCUCAGCACUUGAUUCAUUUGGAGGAAGUAAGAUGUUAAUCUCUCUCACAAAACGCUUAGAACCCAU
This 206-nucleotide unclassified non-coding RNA is filed under the name Hevea brasiliensis (rubber tree). The record is from RNAcentral. Lineage: Eukaryota; Viridiplantae; Streptophyta; Magnoliopsida; Malpighiales; Euphorbiaceae.